RNAcentral lists this ribosomal RNA (310 nucleotides) under Brachybaenus sp. Gryll_F2124. RNAcentral's name for it is "eukaryotic LSU rRNA". It matches the Rfam family "Eukaryotic large subunit ribosomal RNA", at positions 647 to 924 of the family's 3401-position model. The record is from RNAcentral. Lineage: Eukaryota; Metazoa; Arthropoda; Insecta; Orthoptera; Gryllacrididae.
ACCCGUCUUGAAACACGGACCAAGGAGUCUAACAUGUGCGCGAGUCAUUGGGUUGUCAAACCUAAAGGCGCAAUGAAAGUGAAGGUUUCGCCUCGCGCGGACCGAGGGAAGAUGGGGCGUGCGUCAGCGCGGCCCCCGCAUUCCCGGGGCGUCUCGUUCUCAUUGCGAGUUGAGGCGCACCCAGAGCGUACACGUUGGGACCCGAAAGAUGGUGAACUAUGCCUGGCCAGGACGAAGUCAGGGGAAACCCUGAUGGAGGUCCGUAGCGAUUCUGACGUGCAAAUCGAUCGUCGGAGCUGGGUAUAGGNNC